Molecule: ribosomal RNA, 253 nt
Filed under: uncultured bacterium
Lineage: Bacteria
Description: partial 16S ribosomal RNA
Rfam family: Bacterial small subunit ribosomal RNA
Source: RNAcentral
UACGGAGGGGGCUAGCGUCGUUCGGAAUUACUGGGCGUAAAGCGCACGUAGGCGGCUUUGUAAGUUAGAGGUGAAAGCCCAGGGCUUAACCCUGGAAUUGCCUUUAAGACUGCAUCGCUCGAAUUGUGGAGAGGUGAGUGGAAUUCCGAGUGUAGAGGUGAAAUUCGUAGAUAUUCGGAAGAACACCAGUGGCGAAGGCGACUCACUGGACACAUAUUGACGCUGAGGUGCGAAAGCGUGGGGAGCAAACAGG